Molecule: ribosomal RNA, 301 nt
Filed under: uncultured bacterium
Lineage: Bacteria
Description: bacterial SSU rRNA
Rfam family: Bacterial small subunit ribosomal RNA
Source: RNAcentral
CCUACGGGGUGCACCAGUGAGGAAUUUUGCGCAAUGGGCGAAAGCCUGACGCAGCAACGCCGCGUGGGUGAUGAAGGCCUUUGGGUCGUAAAGCCCUGUCAAGUGGGAAGAACCCGCAUGGUGCGAAUAAUGCCAUGCGCUGACGGUACCACUGAAGGAAGCACCGGCUAACUCCGUGCCAGCAGCCGCGGUACUACGGGGGGUGCAAGCGUUAUUCGGAAUUAUUGGGCGUAAAGGGCGCGUAGGCGGCCGUUUAAUUCAGAUGUGAAGGCCCGGGGCUUAACCUCGGAAGUGCAUUUGU